Molecule: ribosomal RNA, 658 nt
Filed under: uncultured bacterium
Lineage: Bacteria
Description: bacterial SSU rRNA
Rfam family: Bacterial small subunit ribosomal RNA
Source: RNAcentral
GAUGGGCAUGCGUUGUAUUAGCUAGUUGGUGGGGUAACGGCUCACCAAGGCGACGAUACAUAGGGGGACUGAGAGGUUAACCCCCCACACUGGUACUGAGACACGGACCAGACUCCUACGGGAGGCAGCAGUGAGGAAUAUUGGUCAAUGGACGCAAGUCUGAACCAGCCAUGCCGCGUGCAGGAUGACGGCUCUAUGAGUUGUAAACUGCUUUUGUACGAGGGUAAACGCAGAUACGUGUAUCUGUCUGAAAGUAUCGUACGAAUAAGGAUCGGCUAACUCCGUGCCAGCAGCCGCGGUAAUACGGAGGAUUCAAGCGUUAUCCGGAUUUAUUGGGUUUAAAGGGUGCGUAGGCGGUUUGAUAAGUUAGAGGUGAAAUUUCGGGGCUCAACCCUGAACGUGCCUCUAAUACUGUUGAGCUAGAGAGUAGUUGCGGUAGGCGGAAUGUAUGGUGUAGCGGUGAAAUGCUUAGAGAUCAUACAGAACACCGAUUGCGAAGGCAGCUUACCAAACUAUAUCUGACGUUGAGGCACGAAAGCGUGGGGAGCAAACAGGAUUAGAUACCCUGGUAGUCCACGCAGUAAACGAUGAUAACUCGUUGUCGGCGAUACACAGUCGGUGACUAAGCGAAAGCGAUAAGUUAUCCACCUGGGGAGUA